AUUGAACGCUGGCGGCAGGCCUAACACAUGCAAGUCGAACGAGUGGCGGACGGGUGAGUAAUGUCUGGGAAACUGCCUGCUGGAGGGGGAUAACUACUGGAAACGGUAGCUAAUACCGCAUACCAUCAGAUGUGCCCAGAUGGGAUUAGCUAGUUUGUGGGGUAACGGAUCACCAAGGCGACGAUCCCUAGCUGGUCUGAGAGGAUGACCGGCAACACUGGAACUGAGACACGGUCAAGACUCCUACGGGAGGCAGCAGUGGGGAAGAUUGGACAAUGGGCGAAAGCCUGAUGGAGCGAUGCCGCGUGUAUGAAGAAGGCCUUCGGGUUGUAAAGUACUUUCAGCGGGGAGGCGGUACCCGCAGAAGAAGCACCGGCUAACUCCGUGCCAGCAGCCGCGGUAAUAC
RNAcentral lists this ribosomal RNA (406 nucleotides) under uncultured bacterium. RNAcentral's name for it is "partial 16S ribosomal RNA". It matches the Rfam family "Bacterial small subunit ribosomal RNA", at positions 30 to 526 of the family's 1533-position model. The record is from RNAcentral.